Molecule: ribosomal RNA, 446 nt
Filed under: uncultured bacterium
Lineage: Bacteria
Description: bacterial SSU rRNA
Rfam family: Bacterial small subunit ribosomal RNA
Source: RNAcentral
GAUGAACGCUGGCGGCGUGCUUAACACAUGCAAGUCGAACGAUGAAGCAUUCUUCGGAAUGUGGAAGAGUGGCGAACGGGUGAGGAACACGUAAGAAUCUGCCCCUCAGUCGGGGACAACCCUUGGAAACGAGGGCUAAUACCCGAUACGCUGUGGAGUGAAAGAAUUUCGCUGAGGGAUGAUCUUGCGUCUGAUUAGCUAGUUGGUGUGGUAAUGGCACACCAAGGCGACGAUCAGUAGCUGGUCUGAGAGGAUGAACAGCCACAUUGGAACUGAGACACGGUCCAAACUCCUACGGGAGGCAGCAGUGGGGAAUUUUCCGCAAUGGACGAAAGUCUGACGGAGCGACGCUGCGUGAAGGAUGACGGCCUGCGGGUUGUAAACUUCUUUUUCAGAAGAAGUCUGACGGUAUGAGAAUAAGCCGGCUAAUCCGUGCCAGCCGCCGC